Molecule: non-coding RNA, 396 nt
Organism: Camellia sinensis
Lineage: Eukaryota; Viridiplantae; Streptophyta; Magnoliopsida; Ericales; Theaceae
Source: RefSeq, a predicted model, not a curated record
GAAAGGGGAAGGAGAACUGUGAGAGAGAGAGAGGGAGAGAGAGAAGAGGCAAAGCUUCUCCCUAAGGAAUUCAACAUCCAUGGAAGCUUGAAGAUGGUUGAAGAAGAUAGAAGAGAGAGGAAAGAUCAACCAAAAGCUUGGGAAAAAUUGAAGAGACUAAGGGAUGAACAAAGGUUUGGGUAAGGUCGAGACGAAGACAUUGUACCAUUACCACCGGGAACCGAUCACUGUAACCAACCAAGUGGUCAGUCCUAGUCAUGACACCCGUUUUCUUUUGUCAACCUUCGUGGGUUCAGGCACUGCACGAAGCCAUUUAUUUUUGUAAAGUCUAUUGAAAUGUUGGCUUAAUUUUGAUUACCCAUUUAAAGUUGAAGAGGUAGAACUUCAAUGAUUUGU